UACAGAGGGUGCAAACGUUUGUUCGGAAUUACUGGGCGUAAAGCGUGCGCAGGCGGUGAUGUAAGACAGGUGUGAAAUCCCCGGGCUUAACCUGGGAACUGCAUUUGUGACUGCAUCGCUGGAGUGCGGCAGAGGGGGAUGGAAUUCCGCGUGUAGCAGUGAAAUGCGUAGAUAUGCGGAGGAACACCGAUGGCGAAGGCAAUCCCCUGGGCCUGCACUGACGCUCAUGCACGAAAGCGUGGGAGCAAACAGG
This 253-nucleotide ribosomal RNA is filed under the name uncultured bacterium. RNAcentral describes it as "partial 16S ribosomal RNA". It matches the Rfam family "Bacterial small subunit ribosomal RNA", at positions 524 to 776 of the family's 1533-position model. The record is from RNAcentral.